GGCUACGGCCACACCUCCCUGAGCACGCCCGAUCUCGUCUGAUCUCGGAAGCUAAGCAGGGUCGGGCCCGGUUAGUACUUGGAUGGGAGACGCUGGGAAUACCAGGUGCUGUAAGCC
RNAcentral lists this ribosomal RNA (117 nucleotides) under Esox lucius (northern pike). Lineage: Eukaryota; Metazoa; Chordata; Actinopteri; Esociformes; Esocidae. The record is from RNAcentral.